CCUACGGGAGGCAGCAGUGGGGAAUAUUGCACAAUGGGCGCAAGCCUGAUGCAGCCAUGCCGCGUGAAUGAAGAAGGCCUUCGGAUUGUAAAGUUCUUUCGUCGGGGAGGAAGGUGUUGAGGUUAAUAACCUCGGCACUUGACGUUACCCGCACAAGAAGCACCGGCUAACUCCGUGGCAGCAGCCGCGGUAAUU
RNAcentral lists this ribosomal RNA (195 nucleotides) under uncultured bacterium. RNAcentral describes it as "partial 16S ribosomal RNA". It matches the Rfam family "Bacterial small subunit ribosomal RNA", at positions 338 to 525 of the family's 1533-position model. The record is from RNAcentral.